RNAcentral lists this ribosomal RNA (406 nucleotides) under uncultured bacterium. RNAcentral's name for it is "partial 16S ribosomal RNA". It matches the Rfam family "Bacterial small subunit ribosomal RNA", at positions 30 to 526 of the family's 1533-position model. The record is from RNAcentral.
AUUGAACGCUGGCGGCAGGCCUAACACAUGCAAGUCGAACGAGUGGCGGACGGGUGAGUAAUGUAUGGGUAUCUGCCCGAUGGAGGGGGAUAACUACUGGAAACGGUAGCUAAUACCGCAUACUAUCGGAUGUACCCAGAUGGGAUUAGCUAGUAGGUGGGGUAACGGCUCACCAGGGCGACGAUCCCUAGCUGGUCUGAGAGGAUGACCAGCCACCCUGGGACGGAGACACGGACCAGACUCCUACGCGAGGCAGCAGUGGGGAAUAUUGCACACUGGGCGCAAGCCUGAUGCAGCCAUGCCGCGUGUAUGAAGAAGGCCUUCGGGUUGUAAAGUACUUUCAGCGGGGAUGCGUUACCCGCAGAAGAAGCACCGGCUAACUCCGUGACAGCAGCCGCGGUAAUAC